Molecule: ribosomal RNA, 952 nt
Filed under: uncultured organism
Description: bacterial SSU rRNA
Rfam family: Bacterial small subunit ribosomal RNA
Source: RNAcentral
CCUGGCUCAGGAUGAACGCUAGCGGGAGGCCUAAUACAUGCAAGUCGAACGGUAACAGGGCAGAACUUCGGUUCAGCCGCUGACGAGUGGCGCACGGGUGAGUAACGCGUACAUAACCUGCCUUCAAGAGAGGGAUAGCCCUGGGAAACCGGGAUUAAUACCUCAUAGUAUUGCUAAGUCGCAUGGCUGUGCAAUUAAAGUUUCGGCGCUUGAAGAUGGAUGUGCGUGCCAUUAGCUAGUUGGUAAGGUAACGGCUUACCAAGGCAACGAUGGCUAGGGGGCGUGAGAGCGUGACCCCCCACACGGGUACUGAGACACGGACCCGACUCCUACGGGAGGCAGCAGUAAGGAAUAUUGGACAAUGGAGGCAACUCUGAUCCAGCCAUCCCGCGUGCAGGAUGACUGCCCUAUGGGUUGUAAACUGCUUUUAUUUGGGAAGAAACCUGUUCAUUUACUGAACAGUUGACGGUACCUUAUGAAUAAGCACCGGCUAACUCCGUGCCAGCAGCCGCGGUAAUACGGAGGGUGCAAGCGUUAUCCGGAAUCACUGGGUUUAAAGGGAGCGUAGGCGGCAUGAUAAGUCAGAGGUGAAAGGCUGUAGCUUAACUAUGGAAUUGCCUUUGAUACUGUUGUGCUUGAAUCGAGUUGAGGUCAGCAGAAUGUGACAUGUAGCGGUGAAAUGCAUAGAUAUGUCAUAGAAUACCAAUUGUGAAGACAGCUGGCUGGACUUGUAUUGACGCUGAGGCUCGAAAGCGUGGGGAGCAAACAGGAUUAGAUACCCUGGUAGUCCACGCCCUAAACGAUGUUUACUCGAUGUUGGCUUUUAAAGUCAGCGUCCAAGGGGAAACCAUUAAGUAAACCACCUGGGGAGUACGUCCGGCAACGAUGAAACUCCAAGGAAUUGACGGGGGUCCCGCACAAGCGGUGGAGCAUGUGGGUUAAUUCGAUGAUA